AUUCUUCGGCCGCCGUCUUCUUCUGAUGAUGUUGUUUUUUGGAGUAGUGGUCCCACCGGGACAUGUCUCUUCCCGGCGAGCUCGGAUAUGUAGUCCAAGUAUUUCCCUUCGAUCUCUCUGAACGUCUUCAUCAACAAAUUAAAGAUACAAUCAUUAAAAUCAAGUGUUAUAAUAUGCUACAAAUCAAGCAAAUUAAGUGCAACUCAUGAACUUAGCACAAAAUUAUUUGUUGCUAUAUGCAUGAACCGUGAUUGAGCAAUAAUAUCAACAAUCUCAGCGUCUGUGAACACUUCUAAAAGUGAUCUUUUGAAAAUAUUUAUACAAAAAGGUUAGAAAUAAUAAUAAAAAUGGUAAGUUUCGGUGAGGAAAUACUAUAUAUCCUUUGGAAAAAACUGGUUAUUUGAGGAGAAAUUAAGUUGGUGGUGGGAUGUACCUUAAUAAGGAUGAUACUGCAGGAUCUUUCCUGGCAAAGCUGGACCCAAUUAUGGUCAUUGAUCUCAUUACCACAGGUAGGUUCCAGCAUUCUGGAGACGAAGGCCCUCUCCUCUCGAUCAUCCCUUAGAUAAAUGGAGGAAGCAAACGGAAACGAUGCUUCGUUAUUAAUAUUAUCACGACCAAAUUUGUAGGCAUGCGCAGCAAAGGCGAACAUGGCGGCGCCGGUGGAGAGGAACAAGACAGCGGGGAUGUGGAGAAGUGAGGAAGCCAGCUGGGGAGCCCAAGGCUGG
RNAcentral lists this long non-coding RNA (725 nucleotides) under Linum usitatissimum (flax). RNAcentral's name for it is "long non-coding RNA (LUSI_LNC004337)". Lineage: Eukaryota; Viridiplantae; Streptophyta; Magnoliopsida; Malpighiales; Linaceae. The record is from RNAcentral.